GUAGGGAAUAUUGGUCAAUGGACGAAAGUCUGAACCAGCCAUUCCGCGUGCAGGAAGAAGAUUCUAUGGAUUGUAAACUGCUUUUAGCAGAGAAGAAACGCCUUCAUUGAUGAGGGUUUGACGGUAUCUGCGGAAUAAGCACCGGCUAACUCCGUGCCAGCAGCCGCGGUAAUACGGGGGGUGCAAGCGUUAUCCGGAAUCACUGGGUUUAAAGGGUGCGUAGGCGGGAAAUUAAGUCAGUGGUGAAAGUCUGUUGCUUAACGAUAGAAUUGCCGUUGAUACUGAUUUUCUUGAAUUGGGUUGAGGUUAGCGGAAUGUGACAUGGAGCGGUGAAAUGCAUAGAUAUGUCAUGGAACACCAAUUGCGAAGGCAGCUAGCUGGGCCUUGAUUGACGCUGAGGCACGAAAGCGUGGGUAGCGAACAGGAUUAGAAACCCCAGUAGUCC
This 445-nucleotide ribosomal RNA is filed under the name uncultured bacterium. Its description in RNAcentral is "partial 16S ribosomal RNA". It matches the Rfam family "Bacterial small subunit ribosomal RNA", at positions 354 to 796 of the family's 1533-position model. The record is from RNAcentral.